Cannabis sativa is the source of this 1735-nucleotide long non-coding RNA. RefSeq lists it as uncharacterized. NCBI's taxonomy places the organism in Eukaryota, Viridiplantae, Streptophyta, Magnoliopsida, Rosales, Cannabaceae. The transcript has 2 exons. The record is from RefSeq and is a predicted model, not a curated record.
AUCCAUCAGCAACUGGUAAAUUUACCCUAUUCCUUUUGCACGAUCGAGCUGUACACUCGAGAAAUUGUGGUCUGCUCGAGAAAGACCAAUCUACUAUGGAUGAGUUGAGGAAGUACGUAAUCUGGGAUUCGGUGCCCAUUCCCCCGAGGAAGAGGAGCACGACUAUGUUGCUCGAGCUAUAUAUAUUCACAAUACAAUAACCUGGGAAGCCGCUAAAACCACCGAAGGGACUCCCCAAGUUAAAGCCAAUCAUUUUUACGGAUAGUCACCUACCGUCCUUAGUGCAAUACCAACUUGUCUCGUCAAGUUUAAGGAUAACCAAAAUAACUUUUAUGUUUGGAAUUGUGUUGAUCUUAUCGCUCAUAGAUUUGACAAUUUGGACCUCGAGAUGGAUUUUAAAGAAGCACUUAACAUUUUCACUCUUCCAGUGAAAAAGGGAAGGAAGCAAGUUGCUGCAAAUGCAGAAUGUUCCUUGAAACAGCCCAAGGCUCUAAGAAAAAUUAAAAGCAAGGAUAAAGAAAAAUCUCAGACUCUUCCAACUUCUUUUAUUGUCAAGAAAUUUCGUGAAUAAGAUUCAAGGUACUAGAAUGUAUAAAGUCUGUUCUAAACUUUGCACAGUUACAUUUGUUUUAAGGAUUCUUAAUAAGGAAAGUUUCGAGGAUGUUGGAGUACAAGAGAAAAAGGCUUUAAUUGCUUUGUAUGAAGCUCAAGGGGCUGCUAACAAGAACUCCACAAACUUAGACUUAAUUGAUGCUGAAAUUCAGACAAGAAGAAAUUAUUUGAGGGUGCACAAGACUUAUCUAUCAUUCCUUAGACAAAAAAAAAAACUAAGAAUGAUUGGAUAAAGGAUGUGAUUCUAAUUCUAAGCUAUUCCACAUUAGCUUAAGAACUAGAAGAAACCAAAAUGUAGUGCCAUUAUUACUAAUGCAUAAGGAAUUUGGGUGGAUAAUCUAGUUGAGGUAAAUAUUGCUUUUAUUUCUUAUUUUUACAACAACUGGGAUCCAAAAUGGAAAAUAGAAGGCAUGUGUUGAGAAAAAUAGUUAAAAAUGAUCCUUGUAUUACUGAAGAAAUUCAGCAUAUACUAAAGAGGAGGUUAAAGAGGCAUUAUUUUCUAUUUCUGAAUCCAAAACCCCAGGCCCUGAUGGUUUCAAAAAUUAUUUAUUUAUGCAUCCUUGGGACAUUAUUGGAGAGGAUUUCACCAAAUCUAUCAUUUUGGUGCUUAAUUCAGGGAAGCUUCUUAAGAAAAUUAUAUGCAACCAUGAUUUGUGGGAGAUUGAAGAAUAUUCUUACAACUAUUAUUGCUCAAAAUCAUGAGGGAUUUAUGCAUGGUAGAUACUUCGCCCAUAAUAUUAUGGGUUGUCAAGAUCGAUUUUAUAAAUGAGUAUCUACAUAAUUAAGAUGUAGAUCUUCCAGAUCGAUUUUAUUGUACCGUCCAGAUCGAUUCUAAGUCGAAUUGAUGAAAGCCUGGUCCUUUAGUGACUAUCGUCCGAAUGGGUCCCCAUAGCUCAUGGCAUGCCGAAUAGACAUGUAGGUCAAGCAGUGCCAUUUGCCGACCAGAAUUACACGCUAAGCGAAGAUAUUCUAAGAUAUUUUUUUAACUGCUUCCUCAAUUAUAACUCAACUAAAUCUCUAUUUUUGUUGGAUUUGAUUAUGUAGUAGAGAAAUUCAUGGGAUUUUAUAUUUGAAUUCCCAUGCCACUUUAUUUCUUUUAUAUCGAGAUUCACAUUUAUUGUUA